This 1042-nucleotide long non-coding RNA is filed under the name Parus major (Great Tit). RNAcentral describes it as "lncRNA (ENSPMJG00000004419.1)". Lineage: Eukaryota; Metazoa; Chordata; Aves; Passeriformes; Paridae. The record is from RNAcentral.
AAAGGUGGGCAGUGCCUCCUCCAGGUGAGGACAGGUGGGCUCUGCCUCCUCCAGGUGAGGGACAGGUGGGCAGUGCCUCCUCCAGGUGAGGACAGGUGGGCUCUGCCUCCUCCAGGUGAGGGACAGGUGGGCAGUGCUCCCCAUCCAGGUGAGGGACAGGUGGGCAGUGCCUCCUCCAGGUGAGGACAGGUGGGCAGUGCUCCUCAUCCAGGUGAGGGACAGGUGGGCAGUGCUCCUCCUCCAGGUGAGGGACAGGUGGGCAGUGCCUCCUAUCCAGGUGAGGGACAGGUGGGCAGUGCCUCACAUCCAGGUGAGGGACAGGUGGGCAGUGCCUCAUCCAGGUGAGGGACAGGUGGGCAGUGCCUCACAUCCAGGUGAGGACAGGUGGGCAGUGCCUCAUCCAGGUGAGGACAGGUGAUCCCAGGUGCUGCCCUGUGGAUCCUGGCUCUGCUCCAGGCUGUCCUGGCUGGUGGAGGCGCUCCCCCAGGAGCUCACCUGUCCCCAGGUGCACUGCAUCAGCACGGAGUUCACCCCGCGCAAGCACGGCGGCGAGAAGGGGGUUCCCUUCCGCGUGCAGAUCGACACCUUCAGGGAGAACGAGAGCGGGGAGUACACGGAGCACCUGCACUCUGCCAGCUGCCAGAUCAAGGUGUUCAAGGUACCUGCGGGCCCCUCCCACCUGGACUGACCUGGGAGUCUGUCCCAGUUUGUACUGGGGGCUGCUGGUGCCGCUGACACCUCCUGCUGUUGGGAGUACCUGCCCCAACCUGCUGGUGCAGGUGAUGGGAGGGGCUGGGAGGGGUCGUUCCCGCUGUGGUCACACCUCGGGGUGCCCAUGACUCCGUCCCACCCCCAAAAUCUCACCUUGGCUCCUCUUUUCUCACCUGUUCACCUCUUGGGGGGUCAGUGGGGUUUGGGGUCCUGCUGGGCCCUCCCCUGGUCUACCUGGGCCAAAUCCUUUCACCUGUCAGUGCAGGUACAGCCAAGUUUAAAUUUCUUCAGGGGUCUGCCAAGGGGAACACCUGGCUACCUGUGGGGGUUC